CCUACGGGUGGCAGCAGUGAGGAAUAUUGGUCAAUGGUCGGGAGACUGAACCAGCCAAGCCGCGUGAGGGAGGAAGGUACAGAGUAUCGUAAACCUCUUUUGUCAGGGAACAAAGGCGGGGACGUGUCUCCGGAUGAGUGUACCUGAAGAAAAAGCAUCGGCUAACUCCGUGCCAGCAGCCGCGGUAAUACGGAGGAUGCGAGCGUUAUCCGGAUUUAUUGGGUUUAAAGGGUGCGCAGGCGGGCUGUUAAGGUAGGGGUGAAAGGCCGGGGGUCAACCCCGGACGCGCGGUUGAGACUGGCAGUCUCGAGUUGGAGAGAAGUAUGCGGAAUGCGCGGUGUAGCGGUGAAAUGCAUAGAGAUCGCGCAGAACUCCGAUUGCGAAGGCAGCAUGCCGGCUCCACACUGACGCUGAGGCACGAAAGCGUGGGUAUCGAACAGGAUUAGAUACCCCUGUAGUC
RNAcentral lists this ribosomal RNA (460 nucleotides) under uncultured bacterium. RNAcentral's name for it is "partial 16S ribosomal RNA". It matches the Rfam family "Bacterial small subunit ribosomal RNA", at positions 338 to 795 of the family's 1533-position model. The record is from RNAcentral.